UAAUUAUGAUUAAAGAAAAAG
This 21-nucleotide non-coding RNA is filed under the name Caenorhabditis elegans. The record is from RNAcentral. Lineage: Eukaryota; Metazoa; Nematoda; Chromadorea; Rhabditida; Rhabditidae.